Cyanistes caeruleus (blue tit) is the source of this 513-nucleotide long non-coding RNA. RefSeq lists it as uncharacterized. The record is from RefSeq and is a predicted model, not a curated record. Lineage: Eukaryota; Metazoa; Chordata; Aves; Passeriformes; Paridae.
GCACCUUCUUUAAUCAGUAUGCAUGGGACACAAUACACACAACCCCCUUUGGCCAGUCCAGAGAAGCUUAGAAGGACUUUUUGCACUACUUCAGAUUGCGCACGAUCACUUCAGUCUGUCACAAGCCCAUCAGUCCUGCACGUGUUCAUGGAGGACAACGUGAAACUGGUGCAAACCAAGGCAGCUUCCAUCUGCAGAGGUGUCUGGGCUUGAGCAGAGUUGAAAGUCCUGUUAUGUGUCAGUGAUGUGGCCUGCAGCAAGAAGUCAGCUGUACCACAGCUCUCAGAAGGAAGCAAAACAUCUAUGGUGCAGCCAGUGUACUUGUGCAGAAGCACAGCAUGCAAACUGGAUCCUCCCUAAGCCUCUCAGCUCUGUCUUCCACCCUCUCUCUAGUGCAAUUAUGGGUGCUGUUAUCACACAUGCAAGUAUCAAUCUUUUUAUAUAAGGUCAGAUCUAACACGCAUGCAAUUGGAAAUUAACUCAUGUUGUAUAAAAUGAGGUCAUUCCAUUUCA